CUCCUCUCUAUCUUCCCUCUCUUCUACUUCUUCUUUUCUUCUCUUCUCCCUCUUCUUCCUCUCUUCUUUUCCCUCUUCUUCUCUUCUCCCUCUACUUCUUUUCUUCUUCUCCCCACGCCCCACCGCUUCUCUCUGUUUCUCGAAGAAACAGAGAGAGCGUGGGAGGCGGUGGGAUAAAACCGAAGUUUUCGGUUUUCUUUAUUUUCUUCUUUUUACAACUUAACAGUUUAGUCUUUGAAAUUUCCAUAUUUACAUAUAGGUCCUCCGAUUUAUAAAUAAAU
This 281-nucleotide long non-coding RNA is filed under the name Musa acuminata (dwarf banana). RNAcentral's name for it is "long non-coding RNA (MACU_LNC009753)". The record is from RNAcentral. Lineage: Eukaryota; Viridiplantae; Streptophyta; Magnoliopsida; Zingiberales; Musaceae.